CGGCGCGAGAGGUUGCGCGAGGAGCUGCGGCAGCUAGAAGCCCCUCUCAGGUGGGGGCGUGCAUGCCUGGGAGAAACUGGAUUUGUGAGUUCAUCCUGCAGUGAUUGAUGGCUUAUGUGUUUUAAGCCAGGAGGCAACCAUGCCGUAGAAUGAGAAUAAAAAAAUGGAACCUUUACAGAAGAACUCCAAGGUUUAGGAUUCACUUGUCUUUGGUUCAAGGACAGAAGAACCAGACAAUUGCUACAGCACCAGAUCAUUGCUUGAGAUUCCCUGAAACUUCUCACAGGGUUACAAGGAAAUUGAGGGUACCGAUUAUCCUGUACUUCUAG
This 329-nucleotide long non-coding RNA is filed under the name Vombatus ursinus (common wombat). RNAcentral's name for it is "lncRNA (ENSVURG00010002470.1)". The record is from RNAcentral. Lineage: Eukaryota; Metazoa; Chordata; Mammalia; Diprotodontia; Vombatidae.